AGUGGGAUAACUGGGUCAAAUGGUGGUUCCAUUCCUAUUUUUUUGAGGAAUAUCCAUACUGCUUUCCAGAGUAGUUGAACUAAAUGCAGUCCCACCAAUAGU
RNAcentral lists this microRNA precursor (102 nucleotides) under Marmota monax (woodchuck). The record is from RNAcentral. Lineage: Eukaryota; Metazoa; Chordata; Mammalia; Rodentia; Sciuridae.